Molecule: long non-coding RNA, 392 nt
Filed under: Rattus norvegicus (Norway rat)
Lineage: Eukaryota; Metazoa; Chordata; Mammalia; Rodentia; Muridae
Description: long non-coding RNA NONRATT028354
Source: RNAcentral
CAAGUGUGCAAUAAAGCCUUCUACUGCAAGUCACAGCUUGCUGUCCAUCACAGGACCCAUACGGGGGAGAAGCCUUAUCAAUGUCAGGAAUGCAGGAAGGCAUUCCAGUGCAGGUCAGACCUCACUCGGCAUCUGAGAACUCAUACAGGCGAGAGGCCCUAUGGAUGUACGGAGUGCAGGAAGGCUUUCUACCGCAAGUCAGACCUCACAGUGCAUCAGAGGACACACACAGGCGAGAAGCCCUACGAAUGCAAAGAGUGCAGAAAAGCCUUCUACUGCAAUUCACAGCUCACUGUCCAUCAAAGACAGCACACAGGGGAGAAGCCUUAUGAGUGUAAAGACUGUGGGAAAGCCUUUCAGUGCAAAUAUGAACUCACUCGGCAUCACAGAAC